AUUGAACGCUGGCGGCAGGCCUAACACAUGCAAGUCGAGCGGAUGAAGGGAGCUUGCUCCUGGAUUCAGCGGCGGACGGGUGAGUAAUGCCUAGGAAUCUGCCUGGUAGUGGGGGAUAACGUCCGGAAACGGGCGCUAAUACCGCAUACGUCCUGAGGGAGAAAGUGGGGGAUCUUCGGACCUCACGCUAUCAGAUGAGCCUAGGUCGGAUUAGCUAGUUGGUGGGGUAAAGGCCUACCAAGGCGACGAUCCGUAACUGGUCUGAGAGGAUGAUCAGUCACACUGGAACUGAGACACGGUCCAGACUCCUACGGGAGGCAGCAGUGGGGAAUAUUGGACAAUGGGCGAAAGCCUGAUCCAGCCAUGCCGCGUGUGUGAAGAAAGUCUUCGGAUUGUAAAGCACUUUAAGUUGGGAGGAAGGGCAGUAAGUUAAUACCUUGCUGUUUUGACGUUACCAACAGAAUAAGCACCGGCUAACUUCGUG
RNAcentral lists this ribosomal RNA (484 nucleotides) under uncultured bacterium. Its description in RNAcentral is "partial 16S ribosomal RNA". It matches the Rfam family "Bacterial small subunit ribosomal RNA", at positions 30 to 507 of the family's 1533-position model. The record is from RNAcentral.